RNAcentral lists this long non-coding RNA (875 nucleotides) under Homo sapiens (human). RNAcentral's name for it is "non-protein coding lnc-SLC35C1-1:2". The record is from RNAcentral. Lineage: Eukaryota; Metazoa; Chordata; Mammalia; Primates; Hominidae.
GAUUUGUGAACAGGGCCUGGGGGUGGAGGGGAGGUUGGGACCUGUCAGAGGCAGCAGGGCUGAAGAAGGUUUGUGAACAGGGCCCUGGGGUGGAGGGGAGCUGGGGAUCUGUCAGGAAGGAGGGCUCAUCCCUGCCUUCACCAAGCCCACCCACCAGCAGGCAGCCUUUCUAGGAGCUGGUUCUUUCUAAGGAUACCAGGCUCCUUCCUGGAAGUCUUUGAUUGUCCUGCAACAAGUGCAUUGAUGACAAAAUGGAAUGCAGUGCUCAGCCCUCCUGGCCUCCUGCCUGAUUCUCUUCGGAGUGCACCACAUGGGUGGAAGAGCUGCCCCCACCACAUACAGCCCUCACCCACAGUGUGAUGGGUAGAACCAGGACCAGAUCUACCGGGAGCCCUCCUCCCACACACCGUGGCUUCUAUGAAAGGACUAAAUUUAGGACCUGAAACCAGCUGAAAUGGGGACAGCAGAGCCUGCUGCGCCGCAGCUGCCCAUCCAGAACUCUUUCCUACAACCUCCAUCAUGAUCAGCCCUGGAAACCAAACCACCACCUCUGCAGCAAUUGGCCCAGAAGGAUCAGGACUUGGUCAAUGAUUGCCAGUGACUGCCAGUUUCCUUGUGUCCCCCUGACACCCUCCCCACCAGUACAACCGCCACAUCCAACUCAGGACCAAUCAAUCACGUAGGAUGUCCAGCUUCUAGUUAGCUGCCUCCAGCACCCCCAUGCCAGCAGCCUCCGGUGAGGGCACACCUGAAGCCUUCCCUUUUUCUCACUGCAAAUCUUCCUCACUCUGCCUGACUUUGAGUCUUUGCCGAAUAUAUGUAGUGGUGGCCAACUCCCUUGCUAUGGCUCUGAAUAAAAAGCCUCUGUGUGGUCU